UGCAUGGGGCUGGAGGUGGAACUUUUGUCUUAAUCCAGCAAAAUGUCCAGCAGUCUAAAAAGGGGUUCCUUCAGAACCGGUCUAUGUGUAAAGAAAGGCACAACCAUAGAGUGAACGUAUAGCGGAGGGCUCUGCAGUCAUGCUGUCCCGAAAGGUAACACUACUGGAAGCCUGGGAGAGGCACAGGACCUUUCUGAGGAAGAAAGCUAAAGACCUGAAAGAUGCCCUUGUGGAUAUUCACUUUUAAGGAGGAGGGUGGUGAUUGGGGAUCCACAGUCUCAAUGUUAGGUUGCGAGUUAGAAGUUCUCUGUUUGUCCUUAAAGAUGUGAUGGUAGUCAGUGCUCGAUUAUCGACAUGGUUGGUACACUCAGAAAAUAACUUUAAUAAAAUAAUAAUGUCCUAAAUUGAAUGAACCACAUUGGUCGUUGUAUGCAAGAGGGAAUGGGUUUGAUUCUCAGCCAAAGUCGACAGGUUUUGUUGUACUACGUAACAUUUUAUCUACAUAUAUUCUAUUGUGAUGAUUUUAUCCUGGAUUUUGUCAAUAUUUUGUGAUGAGUACAGCAAAGCAGAUAUUCAACGCAUUAUUUUACAAUUUUAACACAUUAUUUUACCAUCUUUAACACAUUAUUUUACAAUCUUUAACACAUUAUUCUACCAUCUUUAACACAUUAUUUUACAAUCUUUAACACAUUAUUUUACAAUCUUUAACACAUUUUUUUUACCAUCUUUAACACAUUAUUUUACAAUCUUUAACACAUUAUUCUACCAUCUUUAACACAUUAUUCUACCAUCUUUAACACAUUAUUUUACAAUCUUUAACACAUUAUUCUACCAUCUUUAACACAUUAUUUUACAAUCUUUAACACAUUAUUCUACAAUCUUUAACACAUUAUUCUACCAUCUUUAACACAUUAUUUUACCAUCUUUAACACAUUAUUCUACCAUCUUUAACACAUUAUUUUACAAUCUUUAACACAUUAUUCUACAAUCUUUAACACAUUAUUCUACCAUCUUUAACACAUUAUUUUACCAUCUUUAACACAUUAUUUUACAAUCUUUAACACAUUAUUCUACAAUCUUUAACACAUUAUUCUACCAUCUUUAACACAUUAUUUUACCAUCUUUAACACAUUAUUCUACCAUCUUUAACACAUUAUUUUACAAUCUUUAACACAUUAUUUUACCAUCUUUAACACAUUAUUCUACCAUCUUUAACACAUUAUUUUACAAUCUUUAACACAUUAUUCUACAAUCUUUAACACAUUAUUCUACCAUCUUUAACACAUUAUUUUACCAUCUUUAACACAUUAUUCUACCAUCUUUAACACAUUAUUUUACAAUCUUUAACACAUUAUUCUACCAUCUUUAACACAUUAUUUUACAAUCUUUAACACAUUAUUCUACCAUCUUUAACACAUUAUUUUACAAUCUUUAACACAUUAUUUUACAAUCUUUAACACAUUAUUCUACCAUCUUUAACACAUUAUUUUACAAUCUUUAACACAUUAUUUUACAAUCUUUAACACAUUAUUCUACCAUCUUUAAUUAACACAUUAUUUUACAAUCUUUAACACAUUAUUCUACAAUCUUUAACACAUUAUUCUACAAUCUUUAACACAUUAUUCUACCAUCUUUAACACAUUAUUUUACCAUCUUUAACACAUUAUUCUACCAUCUUUAACACAUUAUUUUACAAUCUUUAACACAUUAUUCUACCAUCUUUAACACAUUAUUUUACCAUCUUUAACACAUUAUUCUACCAUCUUUAACACAUUAUUUUACAAUCUUUAACUCAUUAUUUUACAAUUAUUGCAACUGGAAUUUUGAGAAAUUAUAUGAUACAAAUUUGUAUUUCCUUGAUUAAUCAACUGGAACAUAACUUUUUAAUUUUUUUAAAUUAGUUGUUCAGUAACCUAGCGUGACGUCUGUGUGUGUGCGUGCAUCAGUGGAGAUUUUAGCAUGUACAGUUGAAGUUGGAAGUUUACAUACACUUGGAGUCAUUAAAACUAGUUUUUAAACUACUCCACAAAUGUAUUGUUAACAAACUAUAGUUUUGACAAGUCGGUUAGGACAUCUUCUUUGUGCAUGACACAAGUAAUUUUUUCAACAAUUGUUUACAGACAGAUUAUUUCACUUAUAAUUCAAUGUAUCACAAUUCCAGUGGGUC
This is a long non-coding RNA of Oncorhynchus tshawytscha (Chinook salmon), 2167 nucleotides long. Lineage: Eukaryota; Metazoa; Chordata; Actinopteri; Salmoniformes; Salmonidae. The record is from Ensembl.